UACCUAUAGUGUGUACACAUACUUAAGAACUCCUUAAACCUCUCCCAAGUUUGAUACAAAGUCUCACUAUCUUUUUGUGCAAAGGUGGAGAUCUGCUUCUUCAAUGCA
Molecule: small nucleolar RNA, 108 nt
Organism: Juglans microcarpa x Juglans regia
Lineage: Eukaryota; Viridiplantae; Streptophyta; Magnoliopsida; Fagales; Juglandaceae
Source: RefSeq, a predicted model, not a curated record